CCUACGGGCGGCAGCAGUGAGGAAUAUUUGUCAAUGGGCGCAAGCCUGAACCAGCCAAGUCGCGUGAGGGAAGACGGCCCUACGGGUUGUAAACCUCUUUUGCCGGGGAGCAAGCAUGAGCACGUGUGCCCAGGAGGAGAGUACCCGGAGAAAAAGCAUCGGCUAACUCCGUGCCAGCAGCCGCGGUAAUACGGAGGAUGCGAUCGUUAUCCGGAUUUAUUGGGUUUAAAGGGUGCGUAGGCGGAUUGAUAAGUUAGAGGUGAAAUGUCCGAGCUUAACUCGGGAACUGCCUCUAAUACUGUUGAUCUAGUGAGUAGAUGCGGUAGGCGGAAUGUAUGGUGUAGCGGUGAAAUGCUUAGAGAUCAUACAGAACACCGAUUGCGAAGGCAGCUUACCAAUCUAUAUCUGACGUUGAGGCACGAAAGCGUGGGGAGCAAACAGGAUUAGAUACCCCAGUAGUC
RNAcentral lists this ribosomal RNA (461 nucleotides) under uncultured bacterium. Its description in RNAcentral is "partial 16S ribosomal RNA". It matches the Rfam family "Bacterial small subunit ribosomal RNA", at positions 338 to 795 of the family's 1533-position model. The record is from RNAcentral.